Molecule: small RNA, 75 nt
Filed under: Kaistella antarctica
Lineage: Bacteria; Pseudomonadati; Bacteroidota; Flavobacteriia; Flavobacteriales; Weeksellaceae
Description: Chryseobacterium antarcticum Flavo-1 RNA
Rfam family: Flavo-1 RNA
Source: RNAcentral
UUUUAGCCCGGAUGGAAGUGUAAAUCCUUUUUUUGCGCUAGCAGAAAAAGAUUGCAACGGACAGCCGGAACGUCA